Molecule: unclassified non-coding RNA, 390 nt
Filed under: soil metagenome
Description: partial contains 5.8S ribosomal RNA, internal transcribed spacer 2, and large subunit ribosomal RNA
Rfam family: 5.8S ribosomal RNA (bases 1-122)
Source: RNAcentral
GAUGAAGAACGUAGCGAAAUGCGAUACUUGGUGUGAAUUGCAGAAUCCCGCGAAUCAUCGAGUUUUUGAACGCAAGUUGCGCCCGAAGCCAUUCGGCCGAGGGCACGUCUGCCUGGGUGUCACGCAUCGUUGCCCCCCCAAACUCCGGUUCGGGCGGGGCGGAAGUUGGCCUCCCGUGCGUGCCUGCACGCGCGGUUAGUCCAAAAGCGAGUCCUCGGCGACGAGCGCCACGACAAUCGGUGGUUUUUUUACCCUCGUUCCUCGUCGUGCGUGCCCCGUCGCCCGAACGUGCUCUUGCGACCCUCACGCGUCGCCUCGGCGGCGCUCCCAACGCGACCCCAGGUCAGGCGGGACUACCCGCUGAGUUUAAGCAUAUCAAUAAGCGGAGGA